GACGAACGCUGGCGGCGUGCCUAAUACAUGCAAGUAGGACGCUGAAGGAGGAGCUUGCUUCUCUGGAUGAGUUGCGAACGGGUGAGUAACGCGUAGGUAACCUGCCUGGUAGCGGGGGAUAACUAUUGGAAACGAUAGCUAAUACCGCAUAAUAGUAGAUGUUGCAUGACAUUUGCUUAAAAGGUGCAAUUGCAUCACUACCAGAUGGACCUGCGUUGUAUUAGCUAGUUGGUGGGGUAACGGCUCACCAAGGCGACGAUACAUAGCCGACCUGAGAAGGGGAUCGGCCACACUGGGACUGAGACACGGCCCAGACUCCUACGGGAGGCAGCAGUAGGGAAUCUUCGGCAAUAGACGGAAGUCUGACCGAGCAACGCCGCGUGAGUGAAGAAGGUUUUCGGAUCGUAAAGCUCUGCUGUAAGAGAAGAACGAGUGUGGGAGUGGAAAGUUCACACUGUGACGGUAUCUUACCAGAAAGGGACGGCUAACUACGUG
Molecule: ribosomal RNA, 495 nt
Filed under: uncultured bacterium
Lineage: Bacteria
Description: partial 16S ribosomal RNA
Rfam family: Bacterial small subunit ribosomal RNA
Source: RNAcentral